UUUGUGGUGGCCUACUGGUUAGCGCUUAGGACUUGUAACCGGAAGGUUGCCGGUUCGAACCCCGACCAGAAGG
RNAcentral lists this transfer RNA (73 nucleotides) under Alosa alosa (allis shad). RNAcentral describes it as "tRNA-OTHER". Lineage: Eukaryota; Metazoa; Chordata; Actinopteri; Clupeiformes; Clupeidae. The record is from RNAcentral.